RNAcentral lists this ribosomal RNA (440 nucleotides) under uncultured bacterium. Its description in RNAcentral is "partial 16S ribosomal RNA". It matches the Rfam family "Bacterial small subunit ribosomal RNA", at positions 338 to 795 of the family's 1533-position model. The record is from RNAcentral.
CCUACGGGAGGCAGCAGUAGGGAAUAUUGCGCAAUGGGGGAAACCCUGAAGCAGCAACGCCGCGUGGAGGAUGAAGGUUUUCGGAUUGUAAACUCCUUUUGUUAGAGAAGAUAAUGACGGUAUCUAACGAAUAAGCACCGGCUAACUCCGUGCCAGCAGCCGCGGUAAUACGGAGGGGGCAAGCGUUACUCGGAAUCACUGGGCGUAAAGGGCGCGUAGGCGGGAUAGCAAGUCAGAUGUGAAAUCCUAUGGCUUAACCAUAGAACUGCAUUUGAAACUGUUAUUCUAGAGUAUGGGAGAGGUAGGUGGAAUUCUUGGUGUAGGGGUAAAAUCCGUAGAGAUCAAGAGGAAUACUCAUUGCGAAGGCGACCUGCUAGAACAUAACUGACGCUGAUGCGCGAAAGCGUGGGGAGCAAACAGGAUUAGAUACCCGAGUAGUC